ACUCCUACGGGAGGCAGCAGUGGGGAAUAUUGCACAAUGGGCGCAAGCCUGAUGGAGCAACACCGCGUGAGUGAAGAAGGGUUUCGGCUCGUAAAGCUCUGUUGUUAAAGAAGAACACGUAUGAGAGUAACUGUUCAUACGUUGACGGUAUUUAACCAGAAAGUCACGGCUAACUACGUGCCAGCAGCCGCGGUAAUACGUAGGUGGCAAGCGUUAUCCGGAUUUAUUGGGGCGUAAAGAGAGUGCAGGCGGUUUUCUAAGUCUGAUGUGAAAGCCUUCGGCUUAACCGGAGAAGUGCAUCGGAAACUGGAUAACUUGAGUGCAGAAGAGGGUAGUGGAACUCCAUGUGUAGCGGUGGAAUGCGUAGAUAUAUGGAAGAACACCAGUGGCGAAGGCGGCUACCUGGUCUGCAACUGACGCUGAGACUCGAAAGCAUGGGUAGCGAACAGGAUUAGAUACCCUGGUAGGCUACCG
This 474-nucleotide ribosomal RNA is filed under the name uncultured bacterium. Its description in RNAcentral is "bacterial SSU rRNA". It matches the Rfam family "Bacterial small subunit ribosomal RNA", at positions 335 to 802 of the family's 1533-position model. The record is from RNAcentral.